CACACGCAGCAUGAAUGAGUGAACAGAACUACACGUGGGGCGUGAAUGAAUGAAUGAACGGGGACUGGGACCAGACAGGAAGGAGAGAAUGAAGAGGACGGGCCACGAGGAAUGAAUGAAUGAAUGGGGCCACGCCCACAGGAUGAAUGAAUGUAGGGGGCGGGGCAUGUGGCGUGAGUGAAUGAAUGAAGGCAGAGACUGCGUGCUCCAGGGGGCGUGGCCUGGAAGCUGUGAGCGCAGCCGCGCAGGCGCCGCAGAAGGCCCCACCCACAGCCCUACCUGAGAACCGCAGCGGCUGGCCGCACAGAAUCUGCUGGAAAAUGGGGGGUCUCUGGAAGGAAAACGGAGUCGAGGACCGUAUGGUCACGACCUCCACUCACACAGGCGCCUCACACCCCUCCAGGCGAGACCCUCACUGGCUCACCCAGGGGCCCCUGCCCCUGAGACAGUGCGACAGUGUGACGUGGCCCCCGUCCCAGCCACAGAUCCGGCUGCAGGAUUAGUCAAGACUCCUUCACCUGAAAGUGGUGGGGUCCCAGCUCCGAGGAAGGUCAAAGCCGAAAGAGAUGCCAGACGGGUGUGGAGCUGACACCAGGAGGCCACCACCGCGUCUGUCCCGCACACGCGGCCCCGGGCCCCAGCCCACCCUCUGCGGCUCCGACCCCUCCCCAUGCCACAGCAACGUCAGAGGCUGUUCCUCACGCUCGCGGGUCUGGCAGAAGCAGACCCCCCCCAUCAACCUCACCUUCAUAGACAGCAGCCAAGCCCCCAGAGCCCGUGAUCUGGGCCGCACGGUGUCCUGCCCGCCCCUCGCAUAUCAUUCGUUUGCUUUUUAAUUGUGCCGUGAGCGACUGUUUAGGGGCCUGGAAUACCUCGUUUUUUAAUUUCUAUGUAUUAAUAUUUAAUCCCAACCAAGU
This is a long non-coding RNA of Suricata suricatta (meerkat), 917 nucleotides long. RefSeq lists it as uncharacterized. The transcript is spliced from 2 exons. The record is from RefSeq and is a predicted model, not a curated record. NCBI's taxonomy places the organism in Eukaryota, Metazoa, Chordata, Mammalia, Carnivora, Herpestidae.